This 204-nucleotide ribosomal RNA is filed under the name uncultured bacterium. Its description in RNAcentral is "partial 16S ribosomal RNA". It matches the Rfam family "Bacterial small subunit ribosomal RNA", at positions 28 to 226 of the family's 1533-position model. The record is from RNAcentral.
GACGAACGCUGGCGGCGUGCUUAACACAUGCAAGUCGAGCGGUAAGGCCCUUUCGGGGUACGACGAGCGGCGAACGGGUGAGUAACACGUGGGUGACCUCGCCCUCCAGCUCUGGGAGUAAGCCUGGGAAACGUAGGGUCGUAAUAACUGGAUAUGACUCCACGGUGCAUGUCGUGGGGUGGAAAGCCUUGUGCGGCUGAGGAU